UUUUAUCAGAGAGUUUGAUCCUGGCUCAGGAUGAACGCUGGCGGCGUGCUUAACACAUGCAAGUCGAACGGGAAACCUUUUAUUGAAGCUUCGGCAGAUUUAGCUGGUUUCUAGUGGCGGACGGGUGAGUAACGCGUGGGUAACCUGCCUUAUACAGGGGGAUAACAGUCAGAAAUGGCUGCUAAUACCGCAUAAGCGCACAGAGCUGCAUGGCUCAGUGUGAAAAACUCCGGUGGUAUAAGAUGGACCCGCGUUGGAUUAGCUGGUUGGUGGGGUAACGGCCCACCAAG
Molecule: ribosomal RNA, 290 nt
Filed under: Ruminococcus sp. AM46-18
Lineage: Bacteria; Bacillati; Bacillota; Clostridia; Eubacteriales; Oscillospiraceae
Description: partial 16S ribosomal RNA
Rfam family: Bacterial small subunit ribosomal RNA
Source: RNAcentral